AGUGAACGCUGGCGGUAGGCCUAACACAUGCAAGUCGAACGGCAGCACAGUAAGAGCUUGCUCUUACGGUUGGCGAGUGGCGGACGGGUGAGGAAUACAUCGGAAUCUACUUUUUCGUGGGGGAUAACGUAGGGAAACUUACGCUAAUACCGCAUACGACCUACGGCUGAAAGCAGUGGAUCUUCGGACCUUGCGCGAUUGAAUUAGCCGAUGUCGGAUUAGCUAGUUGGCUGGGUAAAGGCCCACCAAGGCGACGAUCCGUAGCUGGUCUGAGAGGAUGAUCAGCCACACUGGAACUGAGACACGGUCCAGACUCCUACGGGAGGCAGCUGUAGGGAAUAUUGGGCAAUGGGCGCAAGCCUGAUCCAGCCAUACCGCGUGGGUGAAGAAGGCCUUCGGGUUGUAAAGCCCUUUUGUUGGGAAAGAAAAGCAGCAGAUUAAUACCCCGCUGUUCUGACGGUACCCAAAGAAUAAGCACCGGCUAACUACGUG
This 492-nucleotide ribosomal RNA is filed under the name uncultured bacterium. RNAcentral's name for it is "partial 16S ribosomal RNA". It matches the Rfam family "Bacterial small subunit ribosomal RNA", at positions 29 to 507 of the family's 1533-position model. The record is from RNAcentral.